CAGAAGAGUAGAUUGAUUGGUCAAAAGUCAACCCUCCUCCAGUCACCCCUCUACUCCACUGAC
This 63-nucleotide microRNA precursor is filed under the name Pteropus alecto (black flying fox). RNAcentral's name for it is "microRNA pal-mir-9997 precursor". Lineage: Eukaryota; Metazoa; Chordata; Mammalia; Chiroptera; Pteropodidae. The record is from miRBase by way of RNAcentral.